Molecule: ribosomal RNA, 775 nt
Filed under: uncultured Neocallimastigales
Lineage: Eukaryota; Fungi; Neocallimastigomycota; Neocallimastigomycetes; Neocallimastigales
Description: partial large subunit ribosomal RNA
Rfam family: Eukaryotic large subunit ribosomal RNA
Source: RNAcentral
AUAUCAGUCAUGCAUAGCAUAUCAAUAAGCGGAGGAAAAGAAACUAACAAGGAUUCCCUUAGUAACGGCGAGUGAAGCGGGAAGAGCUCAAAUUUGAAAUCUUCAAGGUUUUACCUUGACGAAUUGUAGUUUAAAGAAGUGUUUUCUGUUGAAGUUUUGGUAAAAGUUCUUUGGAAUAGGGACAUCAUAGAGGGUGAGAAUCCCGUAUUUGACCAUUACUUUCAGCUUUGUGAUACACUUUCAAAGAGUCGGAUUGUUUGGGAAUGCAGUCCAAAAUGGGUGGUAAAUUUCAUCUAAAGCUAAAUAUUGGCGAGAGACCGAUAGCGAACAAGUACCGUGAGGGAAAGAUGAAAAGAACUUUGAAAAGAGAGUUAAACAGUACGUGAAAUUGUCAAAAGGGAAGCGUUUGACACCAGUGUUGUUUUCUCGAAAAUCAAUUAAAAAGAGUUGGAUUUUGUGUUGUAUUGACUUUAUCAGCUUUCUUCACUCUUUUCCAGCUUUUUUUAAUGCACUUUUCGUUUAACAAGUCAACAUCAGUUUCUUUUGUUGUAAAAAGGUCAUUGGAAGGUGGCUUUCUCUUCGGAGAAAGUGUUUAUAGCCUUUGACUCAUGCAAUCGGAGAGACUGAGGUCUGCAGCGUAGAUCCUUCGGGGUUAGAUACAUUUGUGCUAAGUUAUAGCUUUUCAUAGACAACUUGUUGACUAUGUUUAGUCUUGUAGCUUACUCGCUUAUGCUAUUUUACCUACGCUUAGGAUGUUGAACUCUAUCACACACAG